AGCAAACCUCUCUCUCCGCUAUUAUUUCUGCAGACAAAGGCAUUGUUCACACUGACAUACAGCAUUAUCCCCUUACUUGCAUUACAGAUUGUUAGAUGCAUGCAGCUGAUUAGUCCAGGAAACGAAGAUCACUGUGAGACCAGUUGAGCUUUGGAAUCAUUUCCGAGAAGCCGUGAAUUCGCUGAUCCGGAGAGCAGCGAAGAAUGCCAAAAGAAAAACAGAUCAGAAAAGCUGAGUUUGUAGAACCUAAGAACAUAUUGAGGGUAAAACGUCAUAUAAUUGAAAUAAAAUUUUCUUAGAUA
This is a long non-coding RNA of Bufo gargarizans (Asiatic toad), 302 nucleotides long. RefSeq lists it as uncharacterized. Lineage: Eukaryota; Metazoa; Chordata; Amphibia; Anura; Bufonidae. The transcript is spliced from 3 exons. The record is from RefSeq and is a predicted model, not a curated record.